UACGGAGGGUGCAAGCGUUAUCCGGAUUCACUGGGGUUAAAGGGUGCGUAGGUGGAUUGGUAAGUCAGUGGUGAAAUCUCUGGGCUUAACUCAGAAACUGCCAUUGAUACUAUCAGUCUUGAAUACCGUGGAGGUCAGCGGAAUAUGUCAUGUAGCGGUGAAAUGCUUAGAUAUGACAUAGAACACCAAUUGCGAAGGCAGCUGGCUACACGAAUAUUGACACUGAGGCACGAAAGCGUGGGGAUCAAACAGG
RNAcentral lists this ribosomal RNA (253 nucleotides) under uncultured bacterium. RNAcentral describes it as "partial 16S ribosomal RNA". It matches the Rfam family "Bacterial small subunit ribosomal RNA", at positions 524 to 776 of the family's 1533-position model. The record is from RNAcentral.